AGUGAACGCUGGCGGUAGGCCUAACACAUGCAAGUCGAACGGCAGCACAGUAAGAGCUUGCUCUUACGGGUGGCGAGUGGCGGACGGGUGAGGAAUACAUCGGAAUCUACUUUUUCGUGGGGGAUAACGUAGGGAAACUUACGCUAAUACCGCAUACGACCUACGGGUGAAAGCAGGGGAUCUUCGGACCUUGCGCGAUUGAAUGAGCCGAUGUCGGAUUAGCUAGUUGGCGGGGUAAAGGCCCACCAAGGCGACGAUCCGUAGCUGGUCUGAGAGGAUGAUCAGCCACACUGGAACUGAGACACGGUCCAGACUCCUACGGGAGGCAGCAGUGGGGAAUAUUGGACAAUGGGCGCAAGCCUGAUCCAGCCAUACCGCGUGGGUGAAGAAGGCCUUCGGGGUGUAAAGCCCUUUUGUUGGGAAAGAAAAGCAGCAGGUUAAUACCCUGCUGUUCUGACGGUACCCAAAGAAUAAGCACCGGCUAACUUCGUG
This 492-nucleotide ribosomal RNA is filed under the name uncultured bacterium. Its description in RNAcentral is "partial 16S ribosomal RNA". It matches the Rfam family "Bacterial small subunit ribosomal RNA", at positions 29 to 507 of the family's 1533-position model. The record is from RNAcentral.